This 74-nucleotide transfer RNA is filed under the name Streptomyces sp. PVA_94-07. The record is from RNAcentral. Lineage: Bacteria; Bacillati; Actinomycetota; Actinomycetes; Kitasatosporales; Streptomycetaceae.
GGACGAUGAUGUAGCCCGAGACCGCCAUCGAGGUGCCGGUCGCCUCCAGGAGCAGCACCAUGAGGAACGGGGCG